GUCCACGCUGUAAACGAUGGAUGCUAGCCGUCGGGGGGUUACCCCUCGGUGGCGUAGCUAACGCGUUAAGCAUCCCGCCUGGGGAGUACGGUCGCAAGAUUAAAACUCAAAGGAAUUGACGGGGACCCGCACAAGCGGUGGAACAUGUGGUUUAAUUCGAGGCAACGCGAAGAACCUUACCAGGCUUUGACAUGCCCUCUGUGAGACCGAGAAAUCGGCCUCUUCACCUCGGGUGGAGGAGCACAGGUGCUGCAUGGCUGUCGU
RNAcentral lists this ribosomal RNA (264 nucleotides) under uncultured bacterium. Its description in RNAcentral is "partial 16S ribosomal RNA". It matches the Rfam family "Bacterial small subunit ribosomal RNA", at positions 793 to 1055 of the family's 1533-position model. The record is from RNAcentral.